GUGGCCGUCUCCAUAAUCCUCCACUGUUCUUCAUCUUCAAAGUAAACGAUCUAAAUCAUCUUAAACAGGAUAAACAAUGGAUGAUCAAGACUCUUCUUGCGAUGAAGACACCGAUGACAACGGCCAUCAUGUCUUUUUGAGUAUGAUUUCUACAGGAUUGUUUAUGGUACAUCAAAUCAUUUCAACAACAUUAUUGUGCCUAUUCGGGUACAAGGCCGCAAAUGGAGCCUCUUCCGGAACGUCAUUUCGUUGUUUUUUGCAGAUGUGAGAUCAGUAUGAUCCUGAUGGGAUUAUGGUUGAUGUUCCGGUGCCACGGUGCAAGUAUGGGUAAUAAGAUCUUUUUAUGGAGAAUGGAGAUUAAAGAUCUGGAUUAAAAAGCUCAGGAUAUUCUUUCCUACCUGAGUAUCAGCUCUUCAUGGAGGAAUAUUAUGUGAUUGUUGCAGCGUGGUAUGAUGUUAGAAUUUUGGGACCUGUUUGGCCCAAUAUCAACCCAAAGCCCAGCGGAAGCUCAAAGAAUAAGGGGUCCAGGAAGAAAGCGCAUGCAAGGCACAUGACCGGGUUGGGGAUGUUGGUACUCAAACAACUCCGAGAAGAGAAGAUCCAGAGCAGGGGUUUGAGGUUUCUACAGAUGUACUUGAGAUCGAGAUCGGGGGAUUCUCUUGUUAGUAGUUGAUGAAUAAAUACCUGAUUUGGAUCACUAAGUAGCUAGCUGUAUAUAUGCAAUCAAAAUCUUAUUUUGCAAACAAAUCACUUGCCUCUUUAUAUUAAUUGGAUUUCACAUGUAAAGUUUGGUGCCUAAAUUAUAAGGGUCAUCCACCGGCAUAAAAAAUAUAUGUAUCACACUGUUUGUAUGAUUUUGCACAUUGUUUUCAA
Long non-coding RNA from Daucus carota subsp. sativus, 873 nucleotides. RefSeq lists it as uncharacterized. The transcript has 5 exons. Lineage: Eukaryota; Viridiplantae; Streptophyta; Magnoliopsida; Apiales; Apiaceae. The record is from RefSeq and is a predicted model, not a curated record.